This 758-nucleotide long non-coding RNA is filed under the name Gossypium barbadense (sea-island cotton). RNAcentral describes it as "long non-coding RNA (GBAR_LNC010249)". The record is from RNAcentral. Lineage: Eukaryota; Viridiplantae; Streptophyta; Magnoliopsida; Malvales; Malvaceae.
GUCACCCUACCAUCAGAAACUAGUCAUCUGUGGCUAAACUUGGUAUAUAGAAGGCAACCCUUCAGUCCUAAAUGAGCCUUACAUUUGUGGCUUCGGAUAAAAAGCUUCAUUCUCGGGAUGGUUAGUAAGGUUUUAUGAUGAUUAGCAGUAUACAACGAGAUCAUUGGCCUCGACGUCAACUAGUGUAUUUUUUUUCUCUUUCACAGCCAUAGUUGAGUUUAUUUUUUUAGAAAAGCCUCUAAUGAUAGGUGUACAAUAAACUUGCAUGAAAAUAUCUCAAAGAAAGGCCCUUUUCUUUCAUUUUCAUUCAAUCAUUCUUUGGAAGUAGAUGAGAUCCUUGAUUCAUUUAAAGAACUUCAUCGUGCAAAAGUUGGGUGUCCCAACCUUUGGAUAGAUACUACUUUUACAAGGGAAAAAUAACAUAAGGAAAACAACGUAAAUGGAAUAAUUGACCAAGACAUAUAAGCUAGUGAUUUGUUGUAUUCUUCAAUCUAGCACCUGAUGAGGCGGAAGCUGAUUGAAGGAGGCAUAGGAAAUUUUCCCAGGUUAUGGAGGUUGAUAUUGUUAAGCAUUGUAUAUCUCUAAGUAAUUUUUUUACAAAAAAUAUGCUUUAAAUAAUGUAUAUUUUACUAGUUGCUGAGCAUAAAAACAUUUAACAGAGUUUCGUAUAUAUAGCGAUAAAAACUUUCCAUCAAAAUUAACUUUACACAUUAAUGUAUUUAUCGGUUCCUUUCUAUUGAAUUGAAGCACUAAAAAUA